This 279-nucleotide ribosomal RNA is filed under the name uncultured bacterium. Its description in RNAcentral is "partial 16S ribosomal RNA". It matches the Rfam family "Bacterial small subunit ribosomal RNA", at positions 506 to 784 of the family's 1533-position model. The record is from RNAcentral.
UGCCAGCCGCCGCGGUAAUACGGGAGUGGCAAGCGUUAUCCGGAAUUAUUGGGCGUAAAGCGUACGUAGGCGGAUUAAUAAGUUAGAGGUGAAAUCCCAGGGCUCAACCCUGGAACUGCCUUUAAAACUGUUAGCCUUGAGAUCGAGAGAGGUGAGUGGAAUUCCAAGUGUAGAGGUGAAAUUCGUAGAUGUUUGGAGGAACACCAGUGGCGAAGGCAGCUUUCUGGAUCAUUACUGACACUGAGGAACGAAAGCAUGGGUAGCGAAGAGGAUUAGAUA